GACGAACGCUGGCGGCGUGCUUAACACAUGCAAGUCGAGCGGUAAGGCCCUUCGGGGUACACGAGCGGCGAACGGGUGAGUAACACGUGAGUAAUCUGCCCAUCACUUCGGGAUAACUCCGGGAAACCGGUGCUAAUACCGAAUAUGACCACUUCAGGCAUCUGAAGGUGGUGGGAAGUUCCGGCGGUGAGGGUUGAGCUCGCGGCCUAUCAGCUUGUUGGUGGGGUAGUGGCUUACCAAGGCUUCGACGGGUAGCCGGCCUGAGAGGGUGACCGGCCACACUGGGACUGAGACACGGCCCAGACUCCUACGGGAGGCAGCAGUGGGGAAUAUUGGACAAUGGGCGAAAGCCUGAUCCAGCAACGCCGCGUGAGGGAUGACGGCCUUCGGGUUGUAAACCUCUUUCAGCAGGGACGAAGCGCAAGUGACGGUACCUGCAGAAGAAGCACCGGCCAACUACGUG
RNAcentral lists this ribosomal RNA (463 nucleotides) under uncultured bacterium. RNAcentral describes it as "partial 16S ribosomal RNA". It matches the Rfam family "Bacterial small subunit ribosomal RNA", at positions 28 to 507 of the family's 1533-position model. The record is from RNAcentral.